CGUGUAGGCGGGUAAAUAAGUCAGAAGUGAAAUCCAAUAGCUCAACUAUUGAACUGCUUUUGAAACUGUAUACCUAGAAUGUGGGAGAGGCAGAUGGAAUUUCUGGUGUAGGGGUAAAAUCCGUAGAGAUCAGAAGGAAUACCGAUUGCGAAGGCGAUCUGCUGGAACAUUAUUGACGCUGAGACGCGAAAGCGUGGGAGCAAACA
This 206-nucleotide ribosomal RNA is filed under the name uncultured bacterium. Its description in RNAcentral is "partial 16S ribosomal RNA". It matches the Rfam family "Bacterial small subunit ribosomal RNA", at positions 568 to 774 of the family's 1533-position model. The record is from RNAcentral.